UACUGUGAAGCCCAGAACAGAAGAGGACGUCAUAACUCCACCUUACAUCUGACUGUUGUGGCAGACAAAUCAACAAUGAUAAUAAACAUCAUCAGGUUGACUCUGGUGGUUGUGACGCUGAUUCCUCUACUUCUGUUUUGUCUGUUGAUGAGGAAGAAGACAACUCUGAGCUCCACCGCUGAAACAAAUGAAUGCAUGGAGACUAUAGAGCUGGAAUCUGAUCAUGUUUAUAUCAGCGCUUCAGCAAACUGUAUGUGACUUUCUACUGAUGCAGUCACAGCAGAGGGGACUCACCUGGAUGGAAACAGAGAGAAGUAUUCCAGUGAGAACGAGGGGCUGUGGGGAAAGUGGAUACAUUUACCUUCAACUCCGAACAUUUUUAGUUUUAGUUUUCAUUAGCAGCAGCAGGCAUUCAGCAGCAGCAUGUAGCAGAAGGUUUAAGUUGAAUUGCAGUUACAGUGGGAAUAACAAGUAUUUGAUACACUGCUGAUUUUGCAGGUUUUCCUACUUACAAAGCAUGUAGAGGUCUGUAAUUUUUAUCAUGGGUACACUUCAACUGUGAGAUACGGUAUCUAAAACAAAAAUCCAGAAA
Long non-coding RNA from Micropterus salmoides (largemouth bass), 592 nucleotides. RefSeq lists it as uncharacterized. The record is from RefSeq and is a predicted model, not a curated record. The transcript is spliced from 4 exons. NCBI's taxonomy places the organism in Eukaryota, Metazoa, Chordata, Actinopteri, Centrarchiformes, Centrarchidae.